This 245-nucleotide long non-coding RNA is filed under the name Lathyrus oleraceus (garden pea). RNAcentral describes it as "Pisum sativum (pea) long non-coding RNA (PSAT_LNC042341)". The record is from RNAcentral. Lineage: Eukaryota; Viridiplantae; Streptophyta; Magnoliopsida; Fabales; Fabaceae.
AAAAGUUGAGUCAACACAAAGUCAAUAAAACAGCUCAACAAAAUAAUAAAGCAUUUAAACAAUUUAAACUCAAUUUCUAAAUGAAGAAAAAUACAUUUUAAAAGGGAGAAAACCUCAAAUCCCUUCAAAUUAUCCAAUAAAUGGUCAAGGGAUUUAUCAUAAGUCAAACAAGGUCAAAGGACCUUUGACUAAUUUUUUUGGCAUUUUUGAAGAGUCAUAAGUAUUUAAAAUCAAUUAAAAACAAG